Small nuclear RNA from Delphinapterus leucas (beluga whale), 104 nucleotides. NCBI's taxonomy places the organism in Eukaryota, Metazoa, Chordata, Mammalia, Artiodactyla, Monodontidae. The record is from Ensembl.
GUGCUGGCUUCGGCAGCACAUACACUAAAAUUGGAACGAUACAGAGAUUAGCAUGGCCCCUGUGCAAGGAUGACACGCAAAUUUGUGAAGCAUUCCAUAUUUUU